CUUACCACAUGAGAAGCGCACCAAUAUCAUUAAUUAUCACUUUGUUCAACUCCAUUCGCUUUGUAUAUAUGUCGAGUGGACGGACUGAGAUCAUGUUUAAGAACUAUGCUUCCAUGCCCAUUUUUUUUUGUGUGCCAUAGGACCAUUCUUUAGGAUUAUAAUCUAUAUAAUCCAUGAUUGUAAACCUAAAUUUUUACAUUUCUAUGAAAUAUUUAUGUUCUUAGCAAACAAAAAAAAAGUACCAAUUUACAUAUGAACUGUAAAAAGAAAUUCUCCCUCAUUUAAAUUAAAGUAAUGCAAAGAUAAAAUUUGUUUACGGCAGUAGGAUAAGGAUUAACUUCGUCUAUUAUCAACGUCAAGAAAUAAUUAAUAAUUAAUCCGUCGUCAAACCAAAACCUAAUCCCACUAGGAAACAAAAAAAAACAAACGAACAAAAGACUAUAAAUUCGCCUUCUUUUCAUAUUUGGAUAUAUUCUCUCUUAUACGCUCUUUAAAUACAUAUAUUUGAAAACGAUUGAUCAUAUCUUUGCCUUCUUGUUAUAAUCUUGUUUGAGUCUCUCUCAAGGGUGAAACAGAAUGUGGAAAGAAGAUAAAUCAUGCGUAGAAGCAAAUUCUACAAGAAGGAGCAAGUUUGAAGAUCGUCUGCCAUCUACUUAUUCCAUGAAGAUCCAAAGCCUCUCUCAGCUCAAUACAAAUCCCGUUAUUUCUCUUCCGGCAAAUACAACUGGAGAUUGGUUAUAUAUCCAAAGGGUAACAAAAAAGACAAGGGAAGUGGAUUUCUUUCAAUGUAUGUUGAAUUAGAUAGCAAAAGCCUCGUCGCAUCCACGGUUUUGGCAUAUAUAUCUCACCUUUUUCGUUUACAACAAGAAAGAAAAUAAUUUCUUUACUAUUCAAGAUGUUGAAGGGAACCAGUUCAAUGCAUUAAGACCGGUAUGGGGAUUUUCGCAAGUGAUUCCGCUUGAUACAUUCAAUGAUCCGGAAAACGGAUAUGUCUUCGAUGGAGAUCAAUGCGAGUUUGGUGUUGAUAGAAUUCAUGAACAAAGAAACUUGUGAAAUGAUUUUCUAUCUUUCUCA
Molecule: long non-coding RNA, 1074 nt
Organism: Arabidopsis lyrata subsp. lyrata
Lineage: Eukaryota; Viridiplantae; Streptophyta; Magnoliopsida; Brassicales; Brassicaceae
Exons: 3
Source: RefSeq, a predicted model, not a curated record